Molecule: long non-coding RNA, 1567 nt
Organism: Lycium barbarum (goji berry)
Lineage: Eukaryota; Viridiplantae; Streptophyta; Magnoliopsida; Solanales; Solanaceae
Exons: 2
Source: RefSeq, a predicted model, not a curated record
UCACAGAAAAUGGUUGUUUCUACAAGACGCAAAUUUCAUUUGCUUCUCUUCAACAAAGUAAUUGUAGUUUUACUCCUUUAGGAGAAUAGUUAAGGCUUGAGAUCCUUCAAGGAGAGACUAGCUACUGACACUGUGCAACUACCUAAUAUGUCGUGGUUCCUCAAAGGACUAAAGAAAAAACAAAAUAUUUUAACUUGUGACCAACUUUACCACCCUAAUAAGAGUUGCAAAAGUUUCCCUGCAAUUCCACAGUUCACAGUUGGCUCAAUUUCAAACAAAGGGAAGCUUAACAUCAAUAUUCUGAUGAGGUCAAGAAAGAGAUCAAUGACCAGAUGGUUAUUAUUAACAAUUUCAAAGACACACCAGUUUGGAUCCUGUCUCAAACUGGAAAUUUCUCUAGUGGUUCAACUUGGAAAGAUAUGAGGCAGGAAAGAAAUCCAAACUACUUGGAUAGCAGACUUUGGCACACAAUAACAUUCCUUUCAAAAUGUCUUUCCUAACUUGGAGGCCAUUCAUGACAAACUCUCUACAGACCAAAAAGCCCUCUUUGCAUAAACACUAGCAACAUCAAUUUGAAGUUCACCCUACUCAAGUGGUGGAAUCAUAGGACCAAGAACCCCUUCUGUGCACUUAUCAUCAAGAUCCUUCCUAAUCUGGUUUGUUGGGAGAUCUGGAUCAAGAUGCAGCAACAAACAUGAAGGUGAGAGAGACCCUCAAGAUCAAUCUCUAAUGUUAUGUUCACUAUUCUGCAGGUACGCAGAACCAGAUUUGGGAAGGCAAAAUUUGGAGGCUCAUGGAUAGCUAUAUGCCAAGCAUGUGAGCAUAACUUUCAGCAAAAAGACUCAACAAUUGCGAAAUGGAUCAGACCCCAAACGAACACCAUCAAGCUAAACAGUGAUGGGAGCUGUCUUAAUGGAAAGUGUGGAGGGAUUGUUAGAGACUACAAUGGAAGGGUCAUUUUUGCCUAGGCUAUCCCUUUAGGGCCUGGAACUAGCAACUUAGCAGAAGCUGCUGCAUUGCUUUAUGGACUGUCAUGGUGCUCUAGGAAUGGAUUCAAUUCAGUUUGGGGGGAGACUGACUCUCUACUCCUUGCUAACUGCAUAAAUAAGCAGUGGAAGAUCCCUUGGAUGAUUUCUGACCUAAUUGAGAACAUUCAGACUAUAGUUGAAGAUAAGGAAUUUCUUCACACACUGCUACAGAGAAGCAAAUAAACCAGCUGACAAAUUAGCCUCUCUUAGACAUGAGAGUGAUUCAAUUCAAAUUUUCAACUCUUAUCCUGAAAUUCCUACUUCCGUAAAAGGCCUCAUAAACAUGGACAGAUGGAGCAUACCCUCCCUUAGAAUCAAGAAUGUAAAGGACGGAAACAUUAUUUUUGAUCCUACAUAGAUACUCAAGCCACUAGGGCCUCUUUUGGGUAGGAUAGAUCAAGUAUUCUAGCCUUUUCUCAAUGAUGUUGUACAAAGUUUGGGAUGCCAAACUUAACUUGUAACUUUUUGCACAUCAAUGAUCAAUGGAGGCAAUGUUUAAAUUAAAAAAAAAAAAAAAAAAAAACAAACAAACAAACAAA